This 709-nucleotide ribosomal RNA is filed under the name uncultured bacterium. RNAcentral's name for it is "bacterial SSU rRNA". It matches the Rfam family "Bacterial small subunit ribosomal RNA", at positions 79 to 784 of the family's 1533-position model. The record is from RNAcentral.
CUUGCUUCUCUUGAGAGCGGCGGACGGGUGAGUAAUGCCUAGGAAUCUGCCUGGUAGUGGGGGAUAACGUCCGGAAACGGACGCUAAUACCGCAUACGUCCUACGGGAGAAAGCAGGGGACCUUCGGGCCUUGCGCUAUCAGAUGAGCCUAGGUCGGAUUAGCUAGUUGGUGGGGUAAUGGCUCACCAAGGCGACGAUCCGUAACUGGUCUGAGAGGAUGAUCAGUCACACUGGAACUGAGACACGGUCCAGACUCCUACGGGAGGCAGCAGUGGGGAAUAUUGGACAAUGGGCGAAAGCCUGAUCCAGCCAUGCCGCGUGUGUGAAGAAGGUCUUCGGAUUGUAAAGCACUUUAAGUUGGGAGGAAGGGCAGUAAAUUAAUACUUUGCUGUUUUGACGUUACCGACAGAAUAAGCACCGGCUAACUCUGUGCCAGCAGCCGCGGUAAUACAGAGGGUGCAAGCGUUAAUCGGAAUUACUGGGCGUAAAGCGCGCGUAGGUGGUUCGUUAAGUUGGAUGUGAAAUCCCCGGGCUCAACCUGGGAACUGCAUUCAAAACUGACGAGCUAGAGUAUGGUAGAGGGUGGUGGAAUUUCCUGUGUAGCGGUGAAAUGCGUAGAUAUAGGAAGGAACACCAGUGGCGAAAGCGACCACCUGGACUGAUACUGACACUGAGGUGCGAAAGCGUGGGGAGCAAACAGGAUUAGAUA